UAAGGAAUAUUGGACAAUGGACGCAAGUCUGAUCCAGCCAUGCCGCGUGAAGGAUGAAUGCCCUCUGGGUUGUAAACUUCUUUUAUAGGGGAAGAAAGAUACUUUUUUUAAGGUAGUUGACGGUACCCUAUGAAUAAGCACCGGCUAACUCCGUGCCAGCAGCCGCGGUAAUACGGAGGGUGCAGGCGUUAUCCGGAUUUACUGGGUUUAAAGGGUGCGUAGGCGGGCAUGUAAGUCAGUGGUGAAAUACCGGAGCUUAACUUCGGAACUGCCAUGGAUACUAGAUGUCUUGAAUAUUGUGGAGGUAAGCGGAAUAUGUCAUGUAGCGGUGAAAUGCAGAGAUAUGACAUAGAACACCGAUUGCCGAGCCAGCUGGCUACGCAAAUAUUGACGCUGAGGCACGAAAGCGUGGGGAUCAAACA
This 422-nucleotide ribosomal RNA is filed under the name uncultured bacterium. Its description in RNAcentral is "bacterial SSU rRNA". It matches the Rfam family "Bacterial small subunit ribosomal RNA", at positions 355 to 774 of the family's 1533-position model. The record is from RNAcentral.